AGUGAACCCUCCAGACUACAGCAACACUUUUUCAAUCGAUGCAGACAGUGGAGUAUUGGAAGUAAAUACUGCAGUUGACAGAGAAGAAUGUCCAUAUCUUCUUGUUGGCAUUAAGGCAGCUCAGCAGGACAAUAAUCUUAAAACAGCUGAUGCAGUAGUGCUGGUUACUAUUGAAGAUGUGAACGACAAUUCUCCAGUAUUGUCACAAUCAAAUUACAAUGUCUCAAUUCUAGAAAACUUCCCAGAUGGGAUGGAAGUUCUUCAAGUAACAGCUAUUGACAAAGAUGAGGGAGGCUUCCAGGGAACAUUCAUUCUCGCUCCAGCUGACAGUCCCUUCCACCUAAAUGAAGCUGGGAUCCUGACUGUGAGGAAC
Molecule: long non-coding RNA, 373 nt
Filed under: Apteryx rowi (Okarito brown kiwi)
Lineage: Eukaryota; Metazoa; Chordata; Aves; Apterygiformes; Apterygidae
Description: lncRNA (ENSARWG00000003827.1)
Source: RNAcentral